This 213-nucleotide ribosomal RNA is filed under the name uncultured bacterium. RNAcentral describes it as "partial 16S ribosomal RNA". It matches the Rfam family "Bacterial small subunit ribosomal RNA", at positions 524 to 733 of the family's 1533-position model. The record is from RNAcentral.
CACGUAGGGUGCGAGCGUUGUCCGGAAUUAUUGGGCGUAAAGGGCUCGUAGGCGGUUUGUCGCGUCGGGAGUGAAAACCCAGGGCUUAACUCUGGGCUUGCUUUCGAUACGGGCAGACUAGAGGUAUGCAGGGGAGAACGGAAUUCCGUGGUGUAGCGGUGAAAUGCGCAGAAUAUCAGGAGGAACACCGGUGGCGAAGGCGGUUCUCGUGGG